GUGGGGAAUAUUGGACAAUGGGCGAAAGCCUGAUCCAGCAAUGCCGCGUGUGUGAAGAAGGUCUUCGGAUUGUAAAGCACUUUCGACGGGGACGAUGAUGACGGUACCCGUAGAAGAAGCCCCGGCUAACUUCGUGCCAGCAGCCGCGGUAAUACGAAGGGGGCUAGCGUUGCUCGGAAUGACUGGGCGUAAAGGGCGCGUAGGCGGUUCAUACAGUCAGAUGUGAAAUUCCAGGGCUUAACCUUGGGGCUGCAUUUGAUACGUAUGGACUAGAGUGUGAGAGAGGGUUGUGGAAUUCCCAGUGUAGAGGUGAAAUUCGUAGAUAUUGGGAAGAACACCGGUGGCGAAGGCGGCAACCUGGCUCAUUACUGACGCUGAGGCGCGAAAGCGUGGGGAGCAA
RNAcentral lists this ribosomal RNA (400 nucleotides) under uncultured Asaia sp. RNAcentral describes it as "bacterial SSU rRNA". It matches the Rfam family "Bacterial small subunit ribosomal RNA", at positions 354 to 771 of the family's 1533-position model. The record is from RNAcentral. Lineage: Bacteria; Pseudomonadati; Pseudomonadota; Alphaproteobacteria; Acetobacterales; Acetobacteraceae.